RNAcentral lists this long non-coding RNA (1028 nucleotides) under Canis lupus dingo (dingo). Its description in RNAcentral is "lncRNA (ENSCAFG00020018816.1)". Lineage: Eukaryota; Metazoa; Chordata; Mammalia; Carnivora; Canidae. The record is from RNAcentral.
GUGACAGCAGCCCAGACUGGCCGAGACACUUACCCAGGUCCUGCCUCCUUUGGUCCCGCGCUUCUUUCCAAGAAGAAAACGUAGCAUCCCUCACCCCUAUGUGUGUCUCAUUCGUCCCCUUUGGCAAGUGACAUGUCAGCCACCACCCCUCUCAGGCCCUCCGGCUCCUGCCUCCAAGCUGGCCCCUCCUGAGAGGGGUCCCGCUGCCCCUCUGUCUGCCCCCCCAGACCUCACCCAGACCUGUGGCCGGGCCUCCUGCUUGCGGGGCUUCAGUGAUGCUGCGUUCAUCUCCAGCUCCUCCCUGGGCCUGGGGCUCUGCACCCACAGAGCACAGGCUCUCCCAGACACUUGCAACCAGCUUGCAACCAGCCCCCCACAGAGCCGACACCUUUGUGUCUAACCCGCCCCCUUUCCAAGGUCACCGUGCUGUGCGUGGCACCACCAGACGGCCUGUGGUCUCAGCCAGGAGCCCAGGUCCUACCUCAACCACUUGCCAGGACACAAUGCAGACUCAAUGGCCAAGGUGAUGAGAGACACGAUGCGGGUGACAGUCCCUCCUGCCCAGCUCGUCAUGUGGACUGCGACAGUCCGCUCAUGGAGUGCUGCUGCCUUGUGACUCUGAGGAUCUCACUGCUCUGAACAGGGGCAAACCUAAUUGGAAAUAAGGAUAAAAGCCCAGCUCCUUAAGAUGACCUGUUACGAGAUAAGUGAAUCAGUGAGGAGGAUGGGAACCAGAUUCCUGGACUGCGGAGCCAGGAGGACCACACAGUGACGGGCUUCUGUGCCACACUCAGGGCUUGUCCUUAACCCUGAAGACUCUGGGGAGCUGAUGAAGAGUUUUAAGCUGAUCAGCGACAGAGCCAGAUGAGUUUGGAAGGUAUUUUUAGAGGACUUCCAUUUUUACAAAGUGUAUUUGUGCAAGCGUCACCUCAUUUAACCUCCUGUAGGGUAGGUAUUGUUUCCAUUUGGCAAGCGAAGACUUCGAGACAUUAUUCAUUAAUCAAAGUCAGAGCGCUAAUAAAGUUGUG